CUUUGUUGGAAGCUCUGGGGGGAAGAUGGCUCUUGAGGACUAUGGGAAUGAGGGUUGUUGUCGUCCUGAAGCCUGAGGGAGAAGCCGACAUGGAGGGAAGUGCACGUGACAGUUCAGAGAGAUUACAUGGAUUUUAGGGACCCCACAGCUAGAAGGAGGCAGAGCCAAAAUUCAAUGAAGAAUCUGUCUGACCCCAGGACACCUGCCGCUGCUUUCCAAAGCCUUUCCGGCCGCGGGUUCUCAGGCCACCGCACCAAGCCACGCUGUCCCUCUCGAAAGCGGCCGUUCCAGGCAAGGCAAAUCGAUACCGCGCUCAGCGAUUCAUCUUCAUUCGGACCACAUCCCCGCACCAGCCCCGGUGCUCUCCCCCGGCCUCCUCCUGAUGGGUUCCUGGAUGCUGACGAAUAGGAUUCUCGGCUGCGGCCACGCCGCGUUAGCAGAUUAAAUCGUUAAUAUCUGCAUCGGUCAUUUUUACGAGCCUCCCUUACCCCAAACGCGUCACCACCCUCGUGUUGAGUACACUGUUAG
Felis catus (domestic cat) is the source of this 528-nucleotide long non-coding RNA. RefSeq lists it as uncharacterized. The record is from RefSeq and is a predicted model, not a curated record. NCBI's taxonomy places the organism in Eukaryota, Metazoa, Chordata, Mammalia, Carnivora, Felidae. The transcript is spliced from 3 exons.